GAUGAACGCUGGCGGCGUGCCUAAUACAUGCAAGUCGAGCGAACGGACGAGAAGCUUUCUUCUCUGAUGUUAGCGGCGGACGGGUGAGUAACACGUGGGUAACCUACCUAUAAGACUGGGAUAACUUCGUGAAACCGGAGCUAAUACCGGCUUAUAUUUUCAACCGCAUGGUUCAAAAGUGAAAGACGGUCUUGCUGUCACUGAUAGAUGGAUCCGCGCUGCAUUAGCUAGUUGGUCAGGUAACGGCUUACCAAGGCAACGAUGCAUAGCCGACCUGAGAGGGUGAUCAGCCACACUGGAACUGAGACACGGUCCAGACUCCUACGGGAGGCAGCAGUAGGGAAUAUUGCGCAAUGGGCGAAAGCCUGAUGGAGCAACGCCGCGUGAGUGAUGAAGGUCUUCGGAUCGUAAAACUCUGUUAGUAGGGAAGAAGAUAGGAGUAAGUAACUGUGCACACCUUGACGGUACCUAAACAGAAAGCCACGGCUAACUACGUG
RNAcentral lists this ribosomal RNA (497 nucleotides) under uncultured bacterium. RNAcentral's name for it is "partial 16S ribosomal RNA". It matches the Rfam family "Bacterial small subunit ribosomal RNA", at positions 28 to 507 of the family's 1533-position model. The record is from RNAcentral.